GCCAGAGUGGCGCAGUGGUCUGAAUGUCAGAUGUCGACUCCAGAAACCAGGGUUCGAAUCCCAGCUUGGCCA
This is a non-coding RNA of Phrynosoma platyrhinos (Desert horned lizard), 72 nucleotides long. The record is from the annotation of a GenBank genome assembly. Lineage: Eukaryota; Metazoa; Chordata; Lepidosauria; Squamata; Phrynosomatidae.